UACAGAGGUCCCGAGCGUUGUUCGGAUUCACUGGGCGUAAAGGGUGCGUAGGUGGUGAGGAAAGUCGGAUGUGAAAUCUCCGGGCUUAACCCGGAAAUGGCAUUGGAAACUACCUUGCUAGAGGUUUUGAGGGGGGACUGGAAUUCUCGGUGUAGCAGUGAAAUGCGUAGAUAUCGAGAGGAACACCGGUGGCGAAGGCGGUUCUCUGGGCAUUACCUGACGCUGAGGAGCGAAAGUGUGGGGAGCGAACAGG
Molecule: ribosomal RNA, 253 nt
Filed under: uncultured bacterium
Lineage: Bacteria
Description: partial 16S ribosomal RNA
Rfam family: Bacterial small subunit ribosomal RNA
Source: RNAcentral